RNAcentral lists this ribosomal RNA (22 nucleotides) under Neofusicoccum parvum. RNAcentral's name for it is "partial 28S ribosomal RNA". The record is from RNAcentral. Lineage: Eukaryota; Fungi; Ascomycota; Dothideomycetes; Botryosphaeriales; Botryosphaeriaceae.
UGACCUCGGAUCAUGUACGGAU